RNAcentral lists this long non-coding RNA (311 nucleotides) under Numida meleagris (helmeted guineafowl). Its description in RNAcentral is "lncRNA (ENSNMEG00000014432.1)". The record is from RNAcentral. Lineage: Eukaryota; Metazoa; Chordata; Aves; Galliformes; Numididae.
AGGUAAACCAAAAUACAUCCCUACAAUACAUGCAUUAGCUGGUUCUAAGUCUCUUUGUAAAAUAGCAAGCUCAGCUUUGUAGUUCUUAUUCAUAUUCAUACAAUUUAUAUUUUCUCCUAACAAGGAAUUGCAUAAACUUCUACCAUUCCUCUACCAAAGAAGUAUUGUCUCAAUGAAGAUUGUAAAGUGUUUGGCAAGAGAAGAUAACUAGCCAGCCAACUUAAGCAUGUUUAAUCCUAAGGAGAGAGGAAAAAAGGGAAAGGAAUGUCAAAAGAUCAGUACUGAGUCCUAACUCUUUUGAAGUACACAAG